UACGUAGGGCGCAAGCGUUGUCCGGAAUUAUUGGGCGUAAAGAGCUCGUAGGCGGCUUGUCACGUCUGCUGUGAAAUCCCGGGGCUCAACCCCGGGCGUGCAGUGGAUACGGGCUGGCUAGAGGCAGGCAGGGGAGAACGGAAUUCCCGGUGUAGCGGUGAAAUGCGCAGAUAUCGGGAGGAACACCGGUGGCGAAGGCGGUUCUCUGGGCCCGUACUGACGCUGAGGAGCGAAAGCGUGGGGAGCGAACAGG
This 253-nucleotide ribosomal RNA is filed under the name uncultured bacterium. RNAcentral's name for it is "partial 16S ribosomal RNA". It matches the Rfam family "Bacterial small subunit ribosomal RNA", at positions 524 to 776 of the family's 1533-position model. The record is from RNAcentral.